GACGAACGCUGGCGGCGCGCCUAACACAUGCAAGUCGAACGGAGUCAAGAGGAGCUUGCUUUUCUUGACUUAGUGGCGAACGGGUGAGUAACGCGUGAGUAACCUGCCCUGGAGUGGGGGACAACAGUUGGAAACGACUGCUAAUACCGCAUAAGCCCACGGAUCUGCAUGGAUCUGCGGGAAAAGGAUUUAUUCGCUCUAGGAUGGACUCGCGUCCAAUUAGCUAGUUGGUGAGGUAACGGCCCACCAAGGCGACGAUUGGUAGCCGGACUGAGAGGUUGAACGGCCACAUUGGGACUGAGACACGGACCAGACUCGUACGGGAGGCAGCAGUGGGGGAUAUUGCACAAUGGGGGAAACCCUGAUGCAGCGACGCCGGGUGGAGGAAGAAGGUUUUCGGAUUGUAAACUCCUGUCGUUAGGGACGAUAAUGACGGUACCUAACAAGAAAGCACCAGCUAACUACGUG
RNAcentral lists this ribosomal RNA (468 nucleotides) under uncultured bacterium. RNAcentral's name for it is "partial 16S ribosomal RNA". It matches the Rfam family "Bacterial small subunit ribosomal RNA", at positions 28 to 507 of the family's 1533-position model. The record is from RNAcentral.